AGUGAACGCUGGCGGUAGGCCUAACACAUGCAAGUCGAACGGCAGCACAGUAAGAGCUUGCUCUUACGGGUGGCGAGUGGCGGACGGGUGAGGAAUACAUCGGAAUCUACUUUUUCGUGGGGGAUAACGUAGGGAAACUUACGCUAAUACCGCAUACGACCUACGGGUGAAAGCAGGGGAUCUUCGGACCUUGCGCGAUUGAAUGAGCCGAUGUCGGAUUAGCUAGUUGGCGGGGUAAAGGCCCACCAAGGCGACGAUCCGUAGCUGGUCUGAGAGGAUGAUCAGCCACACUGGAGCUGAGACACGGUCCAGACUCCUACGGGAGGCAGCAGUGGGGAAUAUUGGACAAUGGGCGCAAGCCUGAUCCAGCCAUACCGCGUGGGUGAUGAAGGCCUUCGGGUUGUAAAGCCCUUUUGUUGGGAAAGAAAAGCAGCAGGUUAAUACCCCGCUGUUCUGACGGUACCCAAAGAAUAAGCACCGGCUAACUUCGUG
RNAcentral lists this ribosomal RNA (492 nucleotides) under uncultured bacterium. Its description in RNAcentral is "partial 16S ribosomal RNA". It matches the Rfam family "Bacterial small subunit ribosomal RNA", at positions 29 to 507 of the family's 1533-position model. The record is from RNAcentral.